AGGGAAAGUGGGAGGCAUGCCUUACACAUGCAAGUCGAACGGCAGCACGGGUGCUUGCACCUGGUGGCGAGUGGCGAACGGGUGAGUAAUACAUCGGAACAUGUCCUGUAGUGGGGGAUAGCCCGGCGAAAGCCGGAUUAAUACCGCAUACGAUCUACGGAUGAAAGCGGGGGACCUUCGGGCCUCGCGCUAUAGGGUUGGCCGAUGGCUGAUUAGCUAGUUGGUGGGGUAAAGGCCUACCAAGGCGACGAUCAGUAGCUGGUCUGAGAGGACGACCAGCCACACUGGGACUGAGACACGGCCCAGACUCCUACGGGAGGCAGCAGUGGGGAAUUUUGGACAAUGGGCGAAAGCCUGAUCCAGCAAUGCCGCGUGUGUGAAGAAGGCCUUCGGGUUGUAAAGCACUUUUGUCCGGAAAGAAAUCCUUGGCCCUAAUACGGUCGGGGGAUGACGGUACCGGAAGAAUAAGCACCGGCUAACUACGUG
This 486-nucleotide ribosomal RNA is filed under the name uncultured bacterium. Its description in RNAcentral is "partial 16S ribosomal RNA". It matches the Rfam family "Bacterial small subunit ribosomal RNA", at positions 31 to 507 of the family's 1533-position model. The record is from RNAcentral.